RNAcentral lists this ribosomal RNA (386 nucleotides) under uncultured bacterium. Its description in RNAcentral is "bacterial SSU rRNA". It matches the Rfam family "Bacterial small subunit ribosomal RNA", at positions 30 to 416 of the family's 1533-position model. The record is from RNAcentral.
AUUGAACGCUGGCGGCAUGCUUUACACAUGCAAGUCGAACGGUAACAGGGAGCUUGCUCCGCUGACGAGUGGCGAACGGGUGAGUAAUGCGUCGGAACGCACCGAGUAAUGGGGGAUAACGCAGCGAAAGCUGUGCUAAUACCGCAUACGCUCUGAGGAGGAAAGCGGGGGAUCUUAGGACCUCGCGUUAUUCGAGCGGCCGACGUCUGAUUAGCUAGUAGGUGAGGUAAGAGCUCACCUAGGCGACGAUCAGUAGCGGGUCUGAGAGGAUGAUCCGCCACACUGGGACUGAGACACGGCCCAGACUCCUACGGGAGGCAGCAAUGGGGAAUUUUGGACAAUGGGCGCAAGCCUGAUCCAGCCAUGCCGCGUGUCUGAAGAAGGCC